GACGAACGCUGGCGGCGUGCCUAAUACAUGCAAGUUGAGCGCUGAAGGUUGGUACUUGUACCAACUGGAUGAGCAGCGAACGGGUGAGUAACGCGUGGGGAAUCUGCCUUUGAGCCGGGGACAACAUUUGGAAACGAAUGCUAAUACCGCAUAAAAACUUUAAACACAAGUUUUAAGUUUGAAAGAUGCAAUUGCAUCACUCAAAGAUGAUCCCGCGUUGUAUUAGCUAGUUGGUGAGGUAAAGGCUCACCAAGGCGAUGAUACAUAGCCGACCUGAGAGGGUGAUCGGCCACAUUGGGACUGAGACACGGCCCAAACUCCUACGGGAGGCAGCAGUAGGGAAUCUUCGGCAAUGGACGAAAGUCUGACCGAGCAACGCCGCGUGAGUGAAGAAGGUUUUCGGAUCGUAAAACUCUGUUGGUAGAGAAGAACGUUGGUGAGAGUGGAAAGCUCAUCAAGUGACGGUAACUACCCAGAAAGGGACGGCUAACUACGUG
RNAcentral lists this ribosomal RNA (497 nucleotides) under uncultured bacterium. RNAcentral describes it as "partial 16S ribosomal RNA". It matches the Rfam family "Bacterial small subunit ribosomal RNA", at positions 28 to 507 of the family's 1533-position model. The record is from RNAcentral.